CAGAGCCGCGGUAAUACGAAGGGUGCAAGCGUUACUCGGAAUUACUGGGCGUAAAGCGUGCGUAGGUGGUGGUUUAAGUCCGUUGUGAAAGCCCUGGGCUCAACCUGGGAAUUGCAGUGGAUACUGGGUCACUAGAGUGUGGUAGAGGAUAGUGGAAUUUCCGGUGUAGCAGUGAAAUGCGUAGAGAUCGGAAGGAACAUCUGUGGCGAAGGCGACUAUCUGGGCCAACACUGACACUGAGGCACGAAAGCGUGGGGAGCAAACAGGAUUAGAUACCCCCGUAGUCCCUGUCUCUUAUACC
Molecule: ribosomal RNA, 301 nt
Filed under: uncultured bacterium
Lineage: Bacteria
Description: partial 16S ribosomal RNA
Rfam family: Bacterial small subunit ribosomal RNA
Source: RNAcentral